RNAcentral lists this unclassified non-coding RNA (385 nucleotides) under soil metagenome. RNAcentral describes it as "partial contains 5.8S ribosomal RNA, internal transcribed spacer 2, and large subunit ribosomal RNA". The stretch from base 1 to 120 matches the Rfam family "5.8S ribosomal RNA", at positions 35 to 154 of the family's 154-position model. The record is from RNAcentral.
GAUGAAGAACGCAGUGAAAUGCGAUAAGUAAUGUGAAUUGCAGAAUUCAGUGAAUCAUCGAAUCUUUGAACGCACCUUGCACCCUUUGGCAUUCCGAAGGGUAUGCUCGUUUGAGUGUCAUUGUACUCUCACACUCCCAAUUGCUUUGGAUUGGGAGCGGUGGACUUGGGUGUUGCUGCUUGACUGAGGCUCACCUGAAAUAUGUUAGUGCACCUCUUGAUUGGACAUAGUACGGCGUGAUAAGUGUCUUCGCCGGCUCCUCGCAAAGAGGGUGGACGAUCGGGAGCUCUGUUGCUUCAAACUGUCUUCGGACAAUCUUCUGGCGACUUGACCUCAAAUCGAGUAGGACUACCCGCUGAACUUAAGCAUAUCAAUAAGCGGAGGA